GUUUAACAAUCGGAUCGGAGGCGGAUUCAGAGGCAAAAUCUAUGUUGCCUAUUUCUUCAUUCUUUUUCAGGUAUUAUUUCAAAACACCCAAAUCCGUAUUCAAAAUUGGAAAAGAGGCAAAAAUGUUGAAGGAUAGAUAGAACACAUAUAUGUUAGAAUUUGAGCCUAAUUUAAUAUGAAUAUCAUUAAUUAUUUUUAAUGAUUUAAUAUAUUAAUGUGUUCUACUUUAUGAGUAGAUUAAAUUAAGUAUUUGAAAGCUCAAAUUCAUGGAGUAGUGAUAUAUAGCACGAGUCCGAGAAAGUUGGUUAGAACAAUAUAAAAGGCUUUGGAAGCCCAUGAAUUAAAAGUUGUAUUUUAAUUAGUUUUAUUUAAUUUAUAGGUAUCUUAUUAGAGUCCAAUUUAGGUUAGGAAAGUUGUUUAAGAAUAUUAUAAAUAGUGAUGUACUUCAUUCUUUUGAGACAUUGAAUAAUUAGAAUUGAUUGAGUUUUGUGUGAGAAUUGUCUGUGUGAUUAUAUGUUGUUCCAAAACCCCGUACCCAUCAAACAUAGUUGGGGAAAUAUUACAAAUAAUAAUGCAUCAUUCAUACAUGGGUUAAUUUGUGUGUAAUAAAGUUGUGAAAUGAAGAUUAUCUUAAGAGUAAAGUUCAGAUCACCACCUAGAAUUUGGCGUCUUUCCCACUUAACCACAUGUAGUCAGUAAAGCUACAUUUAAACUCUCGACUUAUUGAGUUGAACUGAAAACGUCACUUUUUCCAUCCAGUGUGUAUGUCAGACGCCAAAAGCGCGUGAGAAGGCAUUGUAACGGUCAAAAAAGAUUGGUAAAUAUCUGAAAUACCCCAUUCUUCUUCCUCUUGACUUUUAAAAGACAUUCUGAAUUAUUUUGUUCGACCCCAUUUCAGCUCCAUCGCAGACGUGAAGAAGCAGACGAAAUUGAAGGCUAUUAGCAGACCAAAUUCAGUUAGUAUACUUCUUAACUAAAGCUCCAAAAAUCGUAGCACACAGUGAGAGAAGGAAAAGGAAUCCGGCUGGUAAAGGAGAAGGAAUUGAGCAACAACCAUUUGCAAUUUCUGAAGGUAAGUUUUCUAAUCUCCUUUCAUUCCUUUUUCAUUCCAUCCUUGUUAAGAAAAUGACUUUCAUGGCCGAAUGGCUCUGCAUGAACUUGAAGGACUGUUUGUCCUUUUAGUUGUUAUGUUGCUGCUGUAAAAUUUAGUUCACUGGUAUGCUACUGUUAUGUAUGAAAAUUUGGCAGAAGGAGAUAGGUUGGGUUGUGGAGUAAUAAGGAUGUUGUUAUGGGUUGUUAUUGUAAACAAUGACUAUGAAAUUAGUAACCUAAAACUAUGUUUAUCAGCUAUUUGAUAAAAGUUCUAAAAGAACUAUUUUGACUGAAAACUAAAUAUUAGACCAAAGUAAAGAUUAGGCUUGACUUGUUUAUCAUAUGUGGUGUUAAUUGGAAAUUUUGAAGGUAUUAGAUUAGAGCGAAAAGAAAAUUCAAGCUAAAACUAACAAAUUUCAAUCCAUCUCUCAAUUUUGAUCUGAUUUUGUUCGAAAAGAUCACAGAUCUGUUUGUUCCCGAAGUUGAACAUAUAUAUACAUUUAUGGUCUACUCUCUGAUAUUAUUCUUCGUGUUGUUUAUGUGAAUUAGGAGUCAUGUCUUCGCCAAGCAAUGAUGUCGGAAGGAUGAAUGGUGACUUGCGCUACAUACCUAGGCGAUGUAAAUGUGGAAAAAAGGCAAGUGUAAGAAUUGUUGACUCAAACAAACCAUCGAAGGGGAGGUUAUAUUUUGUAUGCGAUGAGUGUGAGUUUGGGCAUGGUGCUUGCCUUCUACAACAAACUCAAGUGGAAUAGUCAAUGGCCCCAAUGAAGACAAUGACAGAAUGGGGACAUUGAUGAGUGGAACAAAAUGCAAGUGUUCAUGUGAGCUGAAUAACAUACCAAGUAGGAUGAUAGUUGUUGAAAGUAAUGUGAAGAUGAUAAUUGUUGUUGGACUUGUGUUGUAUUUCAUGUCAAUCGUGAUGUUUUUU
RNAcentral lists this long non-coding RNA (2020 nucleotides) under Panax ginseng (ginseng). Its description in RNAcentral is "long non-coding RNA (PGIN_LNC003874)". The record is from RNAcentral. Lineage: Eukaryota; Viridiplantae; Streptophyta; Magnoliopsida; Apiales; Araliaceae.